This 160-nucleotide ribosomal RNA is filed under the name Lacticaseibacillus casei. Its description in RNAcentral is "Lactobacillus casei partial 16S ribosomal RNA". The record is from RNAcentral. Lineage: Bacteria; Bacillati; Bacillota; Bacilli; Lactobacillales; Lactobacillaceae.
AUGCGAGGGCCGUGUGGGAGAGAUACUACGUGUUACUCACCCGUCCGCCACUCGUUCCAUGUUGAAUCUCAGUGCAAGCACCGAUCAUCAACGAGAACUCGUUCGACUUGCAUGUAUUAGGCACGCCGCCAGCGUUCAUCCUGAGCCAGGAUCAAACUCU